Molecule: transfer RNA, 77 nt
Filed under: Bdellovibrionales bacterium GWA1_52_35
Lineage: Bacteria; Pseudomonadati; Bdellovibrionota; Bdellovibrionia; Bdellovibrionales
Also listed under: 3 other names
Description: tRNA-Met
Rfam family: tRNA
About the family: Transfer RNA (tRNA) molecules are approximately 80 nucleotides in length. Their secondary structure includes four short double-helical elements and three loops (D, anti-codon, and T loops).
Source: RNAcentral
GGGCCAUUAGCUCAGCUGGUUAGAGCAGCGGACUCAUAAUCCGUUGGUCGAAGGUUCAAGUCCUUCAUGGCCCACCA